Molecule: ribosomal RNA, 520 nt
Filed under: Artemia tibetiana
Lineage: Eukaryota; Metazoa; Arthropoda; Branchiopoda; Anostraca; Artemiidae
Description: partial 12S ribosomal RNA
Rfam family: Microsporidia small subunit ribosomal RNA
Source: RNAcentral
GGGGGUUUUGAUACAAGAGCGUGUUAUUUUAACAGGGGUGAAAUCUGUAUUUAUCAUGAAUCUUUUGGUUAAAGCACCUUUUAGGUGGUCAAAUGACUAGGAUUAGAUACCCUAUUAGUCCACUCUUAACUAACCUGGGUAGUAGCAUUGAAACCUAAAGAAUUUGGCGGUUUCUAAACCUACUAGAGGAACCUGCUCCAUAAACGACAAUCCACGAAAAAAUUUACCCGGGCUAGUCACGCAGCUUAUAUACCGUCGUUCAGGGGACUAAAUAAAUAAAUCCCCUUAAAAGCUUAGGCUAGCAAAUCAGAUCAAGGUGUAGCUCAUGCCCGGGAGAGGGUGGGUUACAAUGAAAACUCAUACGGAAUUUCUAUUUUAUGAUAGUAAAGAAGGUGGAUUUAGAAGUAAGACCUAAUACACUGAAAAAGGCUCUUAGAAAUGUACACAUCGCCCGUCGCUCUCUUGUCCGAAGAGAUAAGUCGUAACAAAGUAGGUGAACCGGAAGGUUCAUCUUGAAAGA